RNAcentral lists this ribosomal RNA (231 nucleotides) under uncultured bacterium. RNAcentral describes it as "partial 16S ribosomal RNA". It matches the Rfam family "Bacterial small subunit ribosomal RNA", at positions 118 to 347 of the family's 1533-position model. The record is from RNAcentral.
UGAGCAAUCUGCCCUUCACAUCGGAAUAACCAUUGGAAACGAUGGCUAAUACCGAAUAUGACUUCGGAUCGCAUGAUCGGAGGUGGAAAGCUCCGGCGGAGAAGGAUGAGCUCGCGGCCUAUCAGCUAGUUGGUGUGGGUAAUGGCCCACAAGGCGACGACGGGUAGCCGGCCUGAGAGGGUGACCGGCCACACGUGGGACUGAGACACCGGCCCAGACCUCGUACGGGGA